UCUGAGCUUGAGCUGUAAUAAAGUGUACAGAGGAGCAAAUAAGAUGGGGCCAGAAAAGUAAUAACAUUUUGCAAUAGUCUAAUUUAGUAAACAGUCAACUUGGUGUUAGAGAAAAGAAGGGUCGUGGUCACGGAAAACAGCAGCUUUCAACAUCAAUAAUCAUAAAAAUACUGAAAACAGCACCUCAAAUUUGUAAAGAGUGCUUUUCAUCACUAUGGAAUGAGAAUUUGAAGUCAUGGCAAUGUAGGAUUGCAAAAAUAUCCACGGAUUCAAAAUAUGUUUCCAUAAAUCUCUUUUCAAGUUUACCAUUGCGAUUUUAGCUUGCACUAAACUACCCAAGCAAAAUGUUAUCAUAUUAUCCCUUUCAACAUACUUUUCACUUGACUUGAUCUCUAUCACAUCUAAAAUAAGAGAAACGUAUUAGAUUCGAUUCAAUGGGCGCAUGAAUUAUUCAUAAUUCUUAGAAACAGAGUCAGAGAUUUCACUUACCAUCCAUUUUAACGAGAGAAGAGCCAAAGAGACGCACUUGAGGUUGCUACAUCGCUGUGCCCUACCGCUGAUCACUCGUUCCCAGAUCCCUGUUCUUAGACGUUUGACCGUGGUUCCUCCCUCAUUCUACGCGAUACUUUUACUUGUACAUCCAUGAAUGAGGGGCCGUCCACACUAACACGGAUUCGUUUCAAAAUAAGUAUACUUUUUGAUACGUUUAGGCCUUCCGUACUAGCACGGAGGUGGGAUCCAGCGAAUCCGGAUACUUUUGAAAACGCUGUUGAAAGUGAAUCUAAAUGAAUCCGUAUACUUUGGUCCGUAGUGUGGACGGUAGAAUCCGUAUCAAAAUGAAAACGAUGGCGUCUAUCGCAGGCGCGCUCUGCUUUGAGUACGCGCAUAUCAUAAAGUGUGGACGACCCCUUAGUUGACCUCCAGUGAGCGCAAAUGUGUACAUUUUUGACAUCGUGAAAAGCCAGCGACAAAAAUAUAAAGCAAAGUGUUAUCAGUAUCACACCAGCACAGAUACACGAACCAUUGACGAUGAAUUGCCUUCGAUCUCUAGCGACAUUGUGUUCCAUACACCACCGUUAAGGUACUUCUAGCGUCGGUUAACCUGACAGGUUUAAUCGUGCUAAUUAUGUAGAAUAUUUUCGAGUGAUCCAAAUCGCAAAUGUAAGGUAAACGAGGACGCUUCCUUUGUGGUUGUUUUUUGAUCUUGUUUACCACCAUCAAGUAUCUUCUUUGAGCACUAAUAAACCUCGAAGUCACUGG
This is a long non-coding RNA of Nematostella vectensis (starlet sea anemone), 1260 nucleotides long. RefSeq lists it as uncharacterized. NCBI's taxonomy places the organism in Eukaryota, Metazoa, Cnidaria, Anthozoa, Actiniaria, Edwardsiidae. The transcript is spliced from 2 exons. The record is from RefSeq and is a predicted model, not a curated record.